This 1167-nucleotide unclassified non-coding RNA is filed under the name Schistocerca americana (American grasshopper). RNAcentral describes it as "uncharacterized LOC124554012, transcript variant X3". The record is from RNAcentral. Lineage: Eukaryota; Metazoa; Arthropoda; Insecta; Orthoptera; Acrididae.
AGAACUAAGUCGGGUGAUGCUCAGGGAAUUAGAUUGGGGAAUGAGACAGUUAAAGUAAUAAAGGAGUUCUGCUAUUUGAGGAGCAAAAUAACUGAUGAUGGUAGACACUUCGUCCAGUGUUGCUGUAGCUUUUGAUACAAACUGGCAAAGGUUCAGAUUCAUCCUUGUCUUUACUUUCUUCACUUAUCGAUAUCGUCAAUUGAAGACCUCCUACGAUUCCAAUUUUUCUCGAAAUGGAACCAAGGGUAGAUAGUGGCCUCCGAGCUGUUUCUUUACUUAAUUCUGUGCCUUUGUUGAAUUACAUUAUCAUAGUGCAAGUUGGUCAUACAAUUUUGAUGCAAAAGUGAACCUGUAAACAUGAUAAAAUGUGGACGUCUCUGGAGAAACCUCAGUGUGUGGGGCCCAUUAGAUACAGACGAUACCUGAUACCCAAAUGCAACGAACCUUUCAGACUUGGGAUACAUCAUUUAUGGAAACAGGAGUUCCUGUUACAUAUACAGCACUUGACACUGCUUGUGAGAAAACAUUAUUAAUCAGCACUGAUAGUCAACUUGGUCCCUAGCAUCCACUAGUGGGCGCCUCCACCUCCAUAGCAGCCAGUAGACAGUUGGACCCUAAAAUAUUUAUAUUAGGGUUUCACAAAACUUUGAAAAAAAUAUUUGGUCAUACAAUUUUGAUGCGAAAUGGAACCUGAAAACCUGCUAAAAUGUGGAUACCAGUGGAUAAAGCUCAAUGUGUGUGGCCUGGUAUAUACAGAUGAUAUCAGAUACCGAAGUGCAAUGAUCCUUUCGGACUUGGAAUACAUCAUUUAUGGAAACAGUGCUCACAAGACAUUUACAGUGGGGUGUGCAGUUGAGAACAGUUCUCCAUCUACCCCUCAGUGCUCACCAGAAUUAUCCAAAGUGGAGCACUGUGCCAAUUCCAAGAAGCAGGCCAAAGAUGUCCUGGUAAGCAGCACAUUUUCAAUGCUGCGAGACAAACAAACAGCAAUGAAUGGGAGCAAUGAGGAUGACAAGUUGGGCGAAUAUGUUGCAGCUGAGCUGAUAACAACUAAAAAUAGAAAAUUAAAUGCAGAGGCAAAGUGAAUGUUAUCAUGAAUGCCAUCAUGGGUGCAAUUCAGAAAGUUACUGAUUGUUAAUUUUUAAAUAAAAGAUUGAAAAUUAAAAA